GUUGUAAGAAUGGAAAGAAAUAUGUGGAAAAAAAUCUAACUUACUGGCAGUGGUGGUCUA
RNAcentral lists this unclassified non-coding RNA (60 nucleotides) under Mus musculus (house mouse). RNAcentral's name for it is "partial derived from hnRNA or mRNA fragment, or novel small non-messenger RNA without known sequence-or structural motifs". The record is from RNAcentral. Lineage: Eukaryota; Metazoa; Chordata; Mammalia; Rodentia; Muridae.